AACAAGUCCCCCGACUCCUCCACCAAGCUCCACCUCCAUUAAUUCCUCUCCAGCGGUAACACAAACACCACUCCCCCGUCCUCCUCUUUUUCUUUCCUCCUCCUCCCACACACCACCACCCAAAUUCCAGAUUUGAGACCCCCUGCUCCCUCCCUCCCUCCCCCUCCCCCUCCUCACCCACUCAAAGGGCACGGUGAAGCAGCAUCGUGGCAUCCGGGAGGCGCGCGAGCAUCAUCAAUCUGUACGCCUCCAUGAUCUCGGCGAGAGACACGAACAAGAGAGAAAGGCAGUUGCGAGUGCCACCAACUGUUCCUCUCCAGGCGUCGAACNNN
RNAcentral lists this long non-coding RNA (332 nucleotides) under Physcomitrium patens. RNAcentral describes it as "long non-coding RNA (PPAT_LNC001330)". Lineage: Eukaryota; Viridiplantae; Streptophyta; Bryopsida; Funariales; Funariaceae. The record is from RNAcentral.